GACGAACGCUGGCGGCGUGCUUAACACAUGCAAGUCGAGCGGUAAGGCCUUUCGGGGUACACGAGCGGCGAACGGGUGAGUAACACGUGGGUGAUCUGCCCUGCACUUCGGGAUAAGCCUGGGAAACUGGGUCUAAUACCGGAUAUGACCUCCUAUCGCAUGGUGGGUGGUGGAAAGAUUUAUCGGUGCAGGAUGGGCCCGCGGCCUAUCAGCUUGUUGGUGGGGUAAUGGCCUACCAAGGCGACGACGGGUAGCCGACCUGAGAGGGUGACCGGCCACACUGGGACUGAGACACGGCCCAGACUCCUACGGGAGGCAGCAGUGGGGAAUAUUGCACAAUGGGCGAACGCCUGAUGCAGCGACGCCGCGUGAGGGAUGACGGCCUUCGGGUUGUAAACCUCUUUCAGCAGGGACGAAGCGCAAGUGACGGUACCUGCAGAAGAAGCACCGGCUAACUACGUG
RNAcentral lists this ribosomal RNA (462 nucleotides) under uncultured bacterium. RNAcentral's name for it is "partial 16S ribosomal RNA". It matches the Rfam family "Bacterial small subunit ribosomal RNA", at positions 28 to 507 of the family's 1533-position model. The record is from RNAcentral.